This 96-nucleotide transfer RNA is filed under the name Infirmifilum uzonense. Its description in RNAcentral is "Thermofilum uzonense tRNA". It matches the Rfam family "tRNA". From Rfam's summary of the family: Transfer RNA (tRNA) molecules are approximately 80 nucleotides in length. Their secondary structure includes four short double-helical elements and three loops (D, anti-codon, and T loops). Lineage: Archaea; Thermoproteati; Thermoproteota; Thermoprotei; Thermofilales; Thermofilaceae. The record is from Rfam by way of RNAcentral.
GCCCCGGUAGCUCAGACUGGUGGAGCGUCGGCCUCGUAAGGUUUACUAUAAUCUCGGGGUAGCCGAAGGUCCCGGGUUCAAAUCCCGGCCGGGGCU